Molecule: long non-coding RNA, 455 nt
Filed under: Heterocephalus glaber (naked mole-rat)
Lineage: Eukaryota; Metazoa; Chordata; Mammalia; Rodentia; Bathyergidae
Description: lncRNA (ENSHGLG00000048820.1)
Source: RNAcentral
ACAGAUGGCCAAGCCCUGUGCGCGUGCACGGCCUGUUGUGUGGGGCCCGGCUGCAUUCGAUCUCAGCGCCUCACUUUGUUUCUUGGUCACAUCGCAGCUGUGGUUUGCGUACGUGUCUCCGCGGGUCCAUGUGUUAAGGUUCUGAAGGAGGCCUUAGUCCAAGUGGAUCUCGGGUCACAGGCUUGUUGGAACCGAGAGGUCUGAGGAGACCGUUUCUCUCCAGUGGUGAAAAGGGCAACCCUGGCUGGUCCUCAGGCCCUGGAGGGCACCGGGGCAGAAGCAGUUAAGAGAGCAACGCCAGAGUUUCUGGCGGCCGAGCCCUGCUGGGUUCCAGCUCUAGGUGUCUGCUGGAAAGUGCAGCUGGGAGCCAGGUGACACGCUGUGUGUGUGUUUUGCUGUUACCAGAGAAACAAGAGGGAAAAAUAAAGAACAGUUUCCACAAAAAUCCAAACGGA